Molecule: ribosomal RNA, 404 nt
Filed under: uncultured bacterium
Lineage: Bacteria
Description: bacterial SSU rRNA
Rfam family: Bacterial small subunit ribosomal RNA
Source: RNAcentral
UGGGGAAUAUUGCACAAUGGGGGAAACCCUGAUGCAGCGACGCCGCGUGAGUGAAGAAGUAUCUCGGUAUGUAAAGCUCUAUCAGCAGGAAAGAUAAUGACGGUACCUGAGUAAGAGGCCCCGGCUAACUACGUGCCAGCAGCCGCGGUAAUACGUAGGGGGCAAGCGUUAUCCGGAUUUACUGGGUGUAAAGGGAGCGUAGACGGCAGUGCAGGUCUGGAGUGAAAGGCGGGGGCUCAACCCCCGGACUGCUCUGGAAACUGUACGGCUGGAGUGCAGGAGAGGUAAGUGGAAUUCCUAGUGUAGCGGUGAAAUGCGUAGAUAUUAGGAGGAACACCAGUGGCGAAGGCGGCUUACUGGACUGCAACUGACAUUGAGGCUUGAAAGUGUGGGUAUCAAACAGG